RNAcentral lists this transfer RNA (74 nucleotides) under Populus trichocarpa (black cottonwood). It matches the Rfam family "tRNA". From Rfam's summary of the family: Transfer RNA (tRNA) molecules are approximately 80 nucleotides in length. Their secondary structure includes four short double-helical elements and three loops (D, anti-codon, and T loops). Further hydrogen bonds mediate the characteristic L-shaped molecular structure. tRNAs have two regions of fundamental functional importance: the anti-codon, which is responsible for specific mRNA codon recognition, and the 3' end, to which the tRNAs corresponding amino acid is attached (by aminoacyl-tRNA synthetases). tRNAs cope with the degeneracy of the genetic code in two manners: having more than one tRNA (with a specific anti-codon) for a particular amino acid; and 'wobble' base-pairing, i.e. permitting non-standard base-pairing at the 3rd anti-codon position. The record is from Rfam by way of RNAcentral. Lineage: Eukaryota; Viridiplantae; Streptophyta; Magnoliopsida; Malpighiales; Salicaceae.
GUUGGAGUAGCUCAGCUAGUUAGUCCGUGUGGCUGUUAAUCAUAAGCUUGAAAGUUCAAACCCUUCCUCUAGCU